GGAACACCUUUUGAAAUAAUGCCAUCAAACGCCGGAGGUAACGCCAUCAAACGCUGGAGGUAGCGUCACAUCUAGCAUGUUUAAACAAGGACAACUGCAUUACAUUCGAGGAAGAUGGGAGCUCCUAUUCAGACAAGUAAAAUUAUCGCCAUCCUAGCUGUCUUCAUCCUCAUCAGCGCCAUCGAUGUUACAGCCCAGGAUGACCUUGUUGGUGGCCGGGCUGGUUUUGACGCCAAAAGACAGUUUAAUUGCCAGUUCGGUGGAAUUCUGAGCAAGUUGUGCAGACCCCAAGGGGGAUCGGAGUCCGGAAAUGACGAGUAAUUAUCUCACAGAUAACCAAACACAUCGCUGGCUUGUUCUUGGUUCAACAUUAAGUAUCUCAAUGAAAUA
This is a long non-coding RNA of Haliotis rubra (blacklip abalone), 390 nucleotides long. RefSeq lists it as uncharacterized. Lineage: Eukaryota; Metazoa; Mollusca; Gastropoda; Lepetellida; Haliotidae. The record is from RefSeq and is a predicted model, not a curated record. The transcript has 4 exons.